AUAUAGGAACCGACUCUGACACAUAAACCAACAGAACUGAAUUUGAUUAGAUCAAAUCUGGAGCCCGAUGCAAAGGGAUCCUUAAGUAGAUACGGUAGAGUACCGUGUCAGCCUGAUAGAUACCUCGAUUUCUAGAUUUGAGAUGGAGAUUUGAAUUUUCAUACGGAUGCCAUAUAAGGAUCUAACUUUGAGAAGUAGCUUAGAGCCAUUAAAUCUGAAAUAAAGUCUAUGAAGAUCGAUGAUGUAUGGAUAUUUGUUGAUUCACCUGAAGGGGUAAGACCCAUAGGGUGUAGGUGAAUUUUCAAAUGGAUAAGAGAUAGACAGAAAGGUGGAGACAUAUAAAAUCUCAUUUGGUUGUCAAGGGAUUUCAUCAAAGUUAUAGUGUUGACUAUAAUGAGACAUUUUUCUUGUGGCAAUCCUCAAGUCCAUUCGAAUUGAAUUAAACUUCUCAGAGUUGGAACAUGCAUUUUGAAUGUAUGGUUUUGUUGAGAACGAAGAAGAAUCUUGUAUGUACA
RNAcentral lists this long non-coding RNA (515 nucleotides) under Elaeis guineensis (African oil palm). RNAcentral describes it as "long non-coding RNA (EGUI_LNC064277)". Lineage: Eukaryota; Viridiplantae; Streptophyta; Magnoliopsida; Arecales; Arecaceae. The record is from RNAcentral.